AAGUCUGAUGGAGCAACGCCGCGUGAGUGAUGAAGGUUUUCGGAUCGUAAAACUCUGUUGUAAGGGAAGAACCAGUAUGUCAGGCAAUGGACGUACCUUGACGGUACCUUAUUAGAAAGCCACGGCUAACUACGUGCCAGCAGCCGCGGUAAUACGUAGGGGGCGAGCGUUGUCCGGAUUUACUGGGCGUAAAGGGUGAGUAGGCGGUAAUAUGUGUCAGAUGUAAAAGGCUAUGGCUUAACCAUAGUUGGCAUUUGAAACUGUAUUACUUGAGUGCAGGAGAGGUAAGUGGAAUUCCUAGUGUAGCGGUGAAAUGCGUAGAUAUUAGGAGGAACACCAGUGGCGAAGGCGACUUACUGGACUGUAACUGACGCUGAGUCACGAAAGCGUGGGUAGCAAACA
Molecule: ribosomal RNA, 402 nt
Filed under: uncultured Sedimentibacter sp.
Lineage: Bacteria; Bacillati; Bacillota; Tissierellia
Description: bacterial SSU rRNA
Rfam family: Bacterial small subunit ribosomal RNA
Source: RNAcentral